GACGAACGCUGGCAGCGUGCCUAAUACAUGCAAGUUGAGCGAUGAAGCUUGGUGCUUGCACCAAUUUGAAGAGCAGCGCACGGGUGAGUAACGCGUGGGGAAUCUGCCUUUGAGCGGGGGACAACAUUUGGAAACGAAUGCUAAUACCGCAUAACAACUUUAAACAUAAGUUUUAAGUUUGAAAGAUGCAAUUGCAUCACUCAAAGAUGAUCCCGCGUUGUAUUAGCUAGUUGGUGAGGUAAAGGCUCACCAAGGCGAUGAUACAUAGCCGACCUGAGAGGGUGAGCGGCCACAUUGGGACUGAGACACGGCCCAAACUCCUACGGGAGGCAGCAGUAGGGAAUCUUCGGCAAUAGACGAAAGUCUGACCGAGCAACGCCGCGGGAGUGAAGAAGGUUUUCGGAUCGUAAAACUCUGUUGGUAGAGAAGAACGUUGGUGAGAGUGGAAAGCUCAUCAAGUGACGGUAACUACCCAGAAAGGGGCGGCUAACUACGUG
RNAcentral lists this ribosomal RNA (497 nucleotides) under uncultured bacterium. RNAcentral's name for it is "partial 16S ribosomal RNA". It matches the Rfam family "Bacterial small subunit ribosomal RNA", at positions 28 to 507 of the family's 1533-position model. The record is from RNAcentral.